This 429-nucleotide ribosomal RNA is filed under the name Gemmatimonadota bacterium. Its description in RNAcentral is "Gemmatimonadetes bacterium partial 16S ribosomal RNA". It matches the Rfam family "Bacterial small subunit ribosomal RNA", at positions 355 to 776 of the family's 1533-position model. The record is from RNAcentral. Lineage: Bacteria; Pseudomonadati; Gemmatimonadota.
UAGGGAAUCUUCGGCAAUGGACGAAAGUCUGACCGAGCAACGCCGCGUGAGUGAAGAAGGUUUUCGGAUCGUAAAACUCUGUUGUUAGAGAAGAACAAGGACGUUAGUAACUGAACGUCCCCUGACGGUAUCUAACCAGAAAUCCACGGCUAACUAUGUGCCAGCAGCCGCGGUAAUACGUAGGUGGCAAGCGUUGUCCGGAUUUAUUGGGCGUAAAGCGAGCGCAGGCGGUUUCUUAAGUCUGAUGUGAAAGCCCCCGGCUCAACCGGGGAGGGUCAUUGGAAACUGGGAGACUUGAGUGCAGAAGAGGGGAGUGGAAUUCCAUGUGUAGCGGUGAAAUGCGUAGAUAUAUGGAGGAACACCAGUGGCGAAGGCAGCUCUCUGGUCUGUAACUGACGCUGAGGCGCGAAAGCGUGGGGAGCAAACAGG